Molecule: ribosomal RNA, 435 nt
Filed under: uncultured bacterium
Lineage: Bacteria
Description: partial 16S ribosomal RNA
Rfam family: Bacterial small subunit ribosomal RNA
Source: RNAcentral
AGCGAACGCUGGCGGCAGGCUUAACACAUGCAAGUCGAACGGGCAUAGCAAUAUGUCAGUGGCAGACGGGUGCGUAACGCGUGGGAACGUACCUUUAGGUUCGGAACAACACAGGGAAACUUGUGCUAAUACCGGAUAAGCCCUUACGGGGAAAGAUUUAUCGCCGAAAGAUCGGCCCGCGUCUGAUUAGAUAGUUGGUAGGGUAAUGGGCUCCCAAGGCGACGAUCAGUAGCUGGUCAGAGAGACUGAUCAGCCACAUUGGGACUGAGACACGGCCCAAACUCCUGCGGGAGGCGGCAGUGGGGGAUAUUGGAAAAUCGGCGAGGGCCUGAUCCAGCCAUGCCGGGUGAGUGAUGAAGGCCCUAGAGUUAAGAAGCACUUUUGUGCGGGAAGAUAAUGACGGUACCGCAAGAAUAAGCCCCGGCUAACUUCGUG